AUACGGAGGGGGUUAGCGUUGUUCGGAAUUACUGGGCGUAAAGCGCACGUAGGCGGACUGGAAAGUUGGGGGUGAAAUCCCGGGGCUCAACCCCGGAACUGCCUCCAAAACUUCCAAUCUAGAGAUCGAGAGAGGUGAGUGGAAUUCCAAGUGUAGAGGUGAAAUUCGUAGAUAUUUGGAGGAACACCAGUGGCGAAGGCGGCUCACGGGCUCGAUACUGACGCUGAGGUGCGAAAGCGUGGUGAGCAAACAGGAUUAGAAACCCUAGUAGUCC
Molecule: ribosomal RNA, 274 nt
Filed under: uncultured bacterium
Lineage: Bacteria
Description: partial 16S ribosomal RNA
Rfam family: Bacterial small subunit ribosomal RNA
Source: RNAcentral